GCGAGGGUUGCCGAGCCUGGUCAAAGGCGCGGGCUUGAGGGGUCCGUCUCGUAGGAGUUCUAGGGUUCAAAUCCCUUCCCUCGCA
This 85-nucleotide transfer RNA is filed under the name Methanoregulaceae archaeon. RNAcentral describes it as "tRNA-Leu". It matches the Rfam family "tRNA". Rfam says of the family: Transfer RNA (tRNA) molecules are approximately 80 nucleotides in length. Their secondary structure includes four short double-helical elements and three loops (D, anti-codon, and T loops). Lineage: Archaea; Methanobacteriati; Methanobacteriota; Methanomicrobia; Methanomicrobiales; Methanoregulaceae. The record is from RNAcentral. RNAcentral also lists the same sequence under 1 other name.